GAGUUUGAUCGUGGCUCAGAUUGAACGCUGGCGGCAGGCCUAACACAUGCAAGUCGAGCGGUAGAGAGAAGCUUGCUUCUCUUGAGAGCGGCGGACGGGUGAGUAAUGCCUAGGAUCUGCCUGGUAGUGGGGAUAACGUUCGGAAACGGACGCUAAUACCGCAUACGGUCCUACGGGAGAAAGCAGGGGACCUUCGGGCCUUGUCGCUAUCAGAUGAGCCUAGGUCGGAUUAGCUAGUUGGUGAGGUAAUGGCUCACCAAGGCGACGAUCCGUAACUGGUCUGACGAGGAUGAUCAGUCACACUGG
Molecule: ribosomal RNA, 306 nt
Filed under: uncultured microorganism
Description: bacterial SSU rRNA
Rfam family: Bacterial small subunit ribosomal RNA
Source: RNAcentral